GGGGAUCGGCACCUUCGUAGAGGAGAUGUGACGCUCGGCACGCGAUCGUUGGUGCCCUAGAAGCAGCAGGGAAGGAUGGUCACGGUGGCGGGUCUUGAAGCUCGCCGGCGAGAUCCGAAACAGCGACAUUGGCCGCACAUCAAGCUCUCGAACCUCGCGGGUGGGGGAAAAGGGAAUGCGGGGAAGAGCUCGGGCUUUAUAGGGGUCGGAUUGGGGCUUGGAUUGGAAAUUCCCGUGAAAACUGGGAUUCGGUUUGGGUCCCGGGGAGGAGUCCUGCUCGGUGCCGAAACGAGGAAGGAGAAGGCGCUGCGCGAUGAGUCCCGCAUGGCAGCGAGAGAAGGGGUGGGACCCGGCUGUCAGCAGCAGAAAGGAGGGAGGGGGACAGCGUGCUGGGCUGAGAAAGAAAUGGGCCGGGGUAGGCCAGAAUCAGGUGGGGAGAGUUUUGAUUUGUUUGUUUUUUUUUCCUUUUUCUUUUAUUUGCAAACCAUUUGAAACUCAUUUAAAAAUACCUUUAAAUCAUUUUGAAUUUUGAGUUCAAAAACACUCAGCACAAUAAACAAAAUGCAGAAGCAUGAGUGCACAAAAAUAUUGCUACACCCUAUGAUAAAUUUUAAUUUUGACAAAAAUUAUUUAUUUACUAGAUUAAAUGCCCACAAAAUGCUUAAAUAAAUCAAAUUAAAUCCUAUUAAUUGGAAAUCAAAUUUUGGGUGUUACAAACUCUACCCCCCUUAAAAUGAAUCUCGUCCUCGAGAUUCGAAAGAGACACGGAUCCUCUAAGAGAACACAGGAUAAAGAUCUUGGUAACUCUUUCAACCUCACAACUUGUAUACCAAAUGUAACCACUUAUGUCUCGGGAUCACAACUUGUGAAUAGAGUUUGCAUAGAAUGUCUAUUAUUCAUAAUUGAUCGAAGUCCAUCUUAACUACCAACUUUUUGACUUAUGCAUCUUUCUUCAAAGGCAAGAUGAUCAUAAUCUUCCCACAUAUCCAUGAGAGGUGUCAUAUUGGGCUCCUGAUCCAUGGGACACUACACUCCCCGUCAUCAAGUGACCAACGUCAGUAACACGAGCAAGGAUAGAUGAUCAUAACCAUAAAAUAUCUCAGAAGGCAAUUAUCACUUCAAGGUAGUUUUAAAAUGCAUCAUCUCGUGAUAUCAAGAUACUACCCCCCUUAAGACGAGGUUGAUUGGGGGACACUAGGGACUAGUUCUCCUGUCCUUUUUAGACGCUACACAUCAUAGUAUUUUAAAUUCCUUGUACCAAGUCUCUUAACCCAGGGUUGGUUUCAACACUAAGUUCCAUCUAUUGGUACCUUUAUCGCAAUUAAGUUGUUUCACUCUCAUAUUGUAUAUGUAACUUUGUAGCCUUUGGUGUCAUCUGAUCCUCAUACACAACUCUUAAUCCAUGAGUAUCAGCAAUGACAUAUACCUCCAUUGAUAUUCUCUAAAUGAGAUGAUAUUCUUGAUCCAAAACAAAUUUACCCAGCGUUUGUGAUACUCACGUAUGAUCCAACACUAGUCAAUCCUUCUCGUUGUAACUUCUUUAACUAGGCUACCCCCCUUAAGAAAAGUCAACUAGGGGACAAAAGGAAGGUAGCUUGCAUAUUUUCCAGACAAGUUGACUAGCACUGAGAGCUUUUGACAUCCUAAAGAACUUGUGUGCAAAAGAAUAAAUAGGUAUCCUGAAAUUUUCUCAUGAUAUGGAAACACCAGCGUAGUAAAACAGGUAUAACUCUUAUUCUGUCAUUCCAAUAGAGUUGUAGCUUAUACUGUUAGAAAACUUAUGAAAUUCCCUACAACUUUCAUGUAGGAGACCUCCUUAGAUUCUGUCUUUAAACUUAGGUAAAACAGUCAAACUUAAUAUCCAUCCUGACAAUGUCUCAGCAAAGGUGCAGUAACUUCCAGAGGUUAUAUCUCGAGCUCCUUAACUCAUCUGGAGAUGAUCCUUAUAUUGUUGAAAAGCUUAUGAAAUCCUCUACAACUUUCGUAUACAACUCUUUCCCAGAUUCUGAAGUUAAUUCAGCCGAAAUUAGGAAAUUCCAGAUCUGUCCAGAUUUUGAAACAGAAAAGAAACAUCCAAGUUUAAAUGUCAUAUCUCAGGUUCUACUUGUCCAAUAAUGUUCCAGCUUAUACCGUUGGAAAACUUAGCAAAUUGUCUAAUACUUUUCUAUAGAACACUUUUCCAACUUCUAUAGUUAUAUAUGUCCAAACAGUAAGCAACCGAAACUGGUCCAGAUUCUUGACAGCCCAUCUGUAUCAUCUUGUGAUUUUUGUAACUUCCAAAUCAUAAUAGCUAUGAGGGUGAUUCUUGCGGUCAGAGAAAGAUCUUGAAGUCUAGUUGUUCCUAGAAAAAGUUGAUAGACUUUGCACGACCAAAACUUGAGAUACACCAGAAUCAUUGCAGACUGCUCCAGAAAUCAGCAAAAGAUAGAAACAAGAGAUAGCCAAACCCAACUACUUAUUUCAUUAAUCCUUAUGCCUUAGGUCUAUAAACUAAUGAAAUUGUGAAGUAAUUCCACAAGAUCAUUGCAAUCAUUACAAAGAUCCAAAUCAAACAUAAGCAAAAUAACAAACCAACUAAGCACACUUCACUCAACUUGCGAUAUUAUCGUUCUCUUCAUUAAGGGCAAAGAUCCUAAAACCUAUGUUUCAAAGACGCAAGAAGGUGGUAAGAAAAGGUUCUAAAAGCAUACCAAAUUAAGGAGCGAAGAUGAGAACAAGUAUACUCUUAAAAUAAGCAACAAGGUGGAGACAAAUAGCAAAGAUAGGGAUAUAGUAUGGAUGAAAAUACCAAGGUUUAUAGAGCAAGGAUUUUAUGACAAUUUCAAAACCUUAAGACGACCAAUUUCUAACUAGGCUUGCGUCCUACAGUCAGCAUUGCUCUGAUACCACUUUGUAAUACCCGAUUUUAAGGACAAAACCAGAUAUGCACCAUAUGUGAGUUUUAGAAGUCAAAUCUCACAUAUAGCUACAAAUAAGGGGUAAUAUCAAAAGACAAUGCAUAAAUAUAUAACAUACUAAGUAUAAAAGAGAUAACCUUGAUAGCAAACAGCGGAUAGACAACUACGAACUUUGGGUAUUAACUUCUCUCUACAGGAUCCAACUGACUGGUUGAUCACAAGCCUAAACUUCUCCUGAGGUUUGGGGGAAAUAGCAAGAGUGAGUCCAUGUCGAACUCCACAAGUAUAGCAACUAGAUUGUAUAGAUCCCACAAUCUCAUGAUCAAUGUGACAUAUAUAAUGUAAAGCUUUAAACAAUAAAUAUGAGCAUAUUAACACACAAGAUUCAUCACCCUUAAUGUAGAUGUCCCCAAGGCCGCUCCUGACCGUGAGCUCGGCUAGUAUACUAGUUUUAACACUCUGCAGAGGUUGCACAUCUUUACCCAUGAGUCAUGAUUUACCCUUUCGCCCGAGGUGAUCAGCCUCUUAACCCACUUCCAAGGAAGGUCGGCAGGGAUCACUAUGAAGCCUUUCAAAAGUUCGUCUGACAUGUUAGGGCCGCAAGGUUUCCUUUGCGAGCAGAUAUAGAUACCCCCCUUCCGAAUGGCACAAUGACGCGCAGCAUAUACACAUAGGGACAGGGGCUCGCACUAUACCCGUGUCGGUUCAGCCCCUCCGCCCUUUCGGGUAAUCUCUAACAAGCUAGAAAAGGUCUUCAUACUGAGCUAAAGCCAGAGCCAUUAUAGCCCUCAUGGUUGCACUGUUGUCCCGGGUGAUCACGUACAGAUAAACCAUCAAGUUGCUAAAAAGUCAUUUUUAUCAUUUAUUACUUAACAUUAAUCUAGUCACAGGAUCAUGGUCACAGAAAUAAAAUCCAAAUGCUAUACUUGCCUUGAUCCAAAUGCUCUUGCUUAUCCUUUUGGUUCUGCUGGUGUCACCUGUUACCAAAGCUCUGAUCUUGAUCACCAAAAACUGCUCCCCGACUAAACUCGAUCAUCGAUCACACAAACAAUCGAAGAAAACAUACAUGAAACAAACAAGGCUACAAUUAGAACAAUACACCAAACAGUGGUAAAACAAAUAUAAAAGUUUAUCAAAAUAUUAUACGCAGCGCUACGAUCACACAGACGUAAAGUUCACGAAAACCGGAAUUAAAACGUGAAAGAUAUGAAUUUCCCAAGAUUUUCUAUAGAGAAAUAAUUAAUUAACUGCUACUGCAGAAUUAAAAAGUUUCAAAACAGUAAACUAAUAAUUCUAACUUGUAGAGCUCGGAAAUACGAAUCUAAUGAAAUUUGAAUGGACAAAAACGAAGUUAUAAUGAAUAUUUUAUGAGCAAAACAAAAUCAGUGGCAAUCUUGUAAAUAGCAGAAAGCGCAUUUUUUCGUUUCCAGUUCCGGUGCGGUGCCUCCAUUGCCGGCCAAAAGAAAGCUCGCCGGCGACGACAGGCUUCUCGAUUCCGAGCACCGUUUCGUGAAAGGAAAACACCGCGGGGUAGAGGAGCUCACCGCGAGUUCACCUAGGCGGUUUUCAAGGCGCGGAUUGACCUCGGGGAAGACGUGCCGCGCGGAUCCGCGAACGAGAACCCCCUGCGAUGUUCGGCGACAGUUAGGGAAGAGUAGAGGCCGGUAGAGCGUAUGGGGAGGGGAUCGGCACCUUCGUAGAGGAGAUGUGACGCUCGGCACGCGAUCGUUGGUGCCCUAGAAGCAGCAGGGAAGGAUGGUCACGGUGGCGGGUCUUGAAGCUCGCCGGCGAGAUCCGAAACAGCGACAUUGGCCGCACAUCAAGCUCUCGAACCUCGUGGGUGGGGGAAAAGGGAUUGCGGGGAAGAGCUCGGGCUUUAUAGGGGUCGGAUUGGGGCUUGGAUUGGAAAUUCCCGUGAAAACUGGGAUUCGGUUUGGGUCCCGGGGAGGAGUCCUGCUCGGUGCCGAAACGAGGAAGGAGAAGGCGCUGCGCGAUGGGUCCUGCAUGGCAGCGAGAGAAGGGGUGGGACCCGGCUGUCAGCAGCAGAAAGGAGGGAGGGGGACAGCGUGCUGGGCUGAGAAAGAAAUGGGCCGGGGUAGGCCAGAAUCAGGUGGGGAGAGUUUUGAUUUGUUUGUUUUUUUUCCUUUUUCUUUUAUUUGCAAACCAUUUGAAACUCAUUUAAAAAUACCUUUAAAUCAUUUUGAAUUUUGAGUUCAAAAACACUCAGCACAAUAAACAAAAUGCAGAAGCAUGAGUGCACAAAAAUAUUGCUACACCCUAUGAUAAAUUUUAAUUUUGACAAAAAUUAUUUAUUUACUAGAUUAAAUGCCCACAAAAUGCUUAAAUAAAUCAAAUUAAAUCCUAUUAAUUGGAAAUCAAAUUUUGGGUGUUACACUUACUUUGUAUUUAUUGCCUGAUCAAAACGGGAUCCGAGGAGGGGAAUGUCAUACUCUUAGGUCAAAGACUUUGGAAAUUAAAAUCUUUGUCAACUCUUGCUGGCAUAUUGCUUAUUAGAGGGACCAUGAGCUAUCAUUUUCUUUUUCUCUCUUUUUUUAAGUGGAUACCGAGGUACCCCUAAUUCUACUACUGGACACUUGUCCAUUUUUUUCUGCGAGGUUGUCGAGCACUUGCUCCUUUUUAUUUCCUCAAAAUAUCUUUAUUUUUGCAUAGCCCAUGCCUCUAAUGCAAUAAUACUUCGGAAGAGUGAAUCUUUCUGAAUAAAUGUCUUGAUCU
This 5630-nucleotide long non-coding RNA is filed under the name Sorghum bicolor (sorghum). RNAcentral's name for it is "long non-coding RNA (SBIC_LNC013824)". Lineage: Eukaryota; Viridiplantae; Streptophyta; Magnoliopsida; Poales; Poaceae. The record is from RNAcentral.